GUCAAGUAGUGUCGAAAGAGAUGAGUUUUCAGCUGUUGCUUGAAGAUUGACAGGGAUCCAGCACUCCGAAUAUGGGUGGGAAGAUCAUUCCACCAGCCAGGAAUGGUGAACGAGAAUGUUCUGGAGAGUGAUUUUGAGCCUCUUUGUGAUGGUACCACGAGGCGUCGCUCACUAGCAGAUCUCAGAUUUCUGGAGGGGAUGUAGAUUCUUAAUAGAGAGUGCAUGUAGGCGGGUGCUGAGCCUGUGGUUGUUCUAUGAGCAAGCAUCAGUGUCUUGAACUUGAUGCGAGCUGCAAUUGGUAGCCAAUGCAAUGAGAUAAAGAGAGGUGUAACAUGGGCUCUUUUGGGUUCCUUGAAGACCAGUCGUGCCGCCGCAUUCUGAAUCAUUUGUAGAGGUUUGACUGUGUUUGAUGGAAGUCCAGCCAGAAGAGCAUUGCAGUAGUCCAGCCUAGAAAUGACAAGGGCCUGGACAAGAAGUUGUGCAGCAUGCUCCGUCAGAAAGGGCCUGAUCUUUCUGAUGUUGUGUAGUGCAAACCUGCAAGAUCGAGCAGUCUUUGCAAUGUGGUCUUUGAAGGUCAGCUGGUCAUCAAAGAUUACACCAAGAUUUCUGACCGAAGUUGAUGGGGUAAUUGUUGAUGAACCUAACUGGAUCGUGAUGUCAUGCUGUAGAUUUGGAGUGGCAGGAAAGACAAGAAGCUCAGUCUUUGCCAGGUUGAGCUGAAGGUGAUGUUCUUUCAUCCAUGCCGAGAUGUCCGCCAGGCAACCUCGGCCAAGUCUUGCAUCGACUUGGACCCCGAGAAAUAUCAUAAUUGAUGUGGCUCUUUAGUAAACCACCUAGCAACCACACAGAACAUCCUAGUAACCGCAGAGGAAAUCACUGAAACCGCAGAUCACCUGGUCAGGUGGAGCAGGUGCAGAUCUUCAAAUCAAUGUCAGGAAUUUGAUGGCAUCAGGAUCCCACAAGUGAUAAACGCGCCAAAUGCUACAUCAUCGAGUGCAACUGGAUUUCUGACUCUGUGACUCGGAUUAUAUUAUUCCCAAUUACAGGGUUCAGGUGAAACACCAGGAAGAAGAAUCCAGCACUGGAUGAUCAGCCUUGAGGAGCACAUCAUUUGUGAGGGCAUCCAGCCAGCUUUUCUGUCUGGGCUUGCAGCUGAUUUUUCUACUUACAACAAUUUCAAUCUUCAAUACCAAGCUGAAGACGCAUGCACGUUGGAAUUUAUUCAAAGGUGGUUCAUCGAGAUAAAUCCGGAAAAGGGACCAGGGCUGGAGGAGUCAUAUCAAAGCUGAUGGGGAAGGUCACCCAGAAAAAGAAAACCGUGAACCCUCGUGUCUGCAGUCUACUUAAAAAAAUUUAUGGAUUUUGAGUUGGACUUUAUACAAGUAUUACACACCACAGACCACACACACACUCACAUCACACA
Molecule: long non-coding RNA, 1423 nt
Organism: Onychostoma macrolepis
Lineage: Eukaryota; Metazoa; Chordata; Actinopteri; Cypriniformes; Cyprinidae
Exons: 4
Source: RefSeq, a predicted model, not a curated record